RNAcentral lists this ribosomal RNA (468 nucleotides) under uncultured bacterium. RNAcentral describes it as "partial 16S ribosomal RNA". It matches the Rfam family "Bacterial small subunit ribosomal RNA", at positions 28 to 507 of the family's 1533-position model. The record is from RNAcentral.
GACGAACGCUGGCGGCGUGCUUAACACAUGCAAGUCGAACGGAAAGGCCCUGCUUUUGUGGCGUGCUCGAUUGGCGAACGGGUGAGUAACACGUGAGUAACCUGCCCUUGACUUUGGGAUAACUUCAGGAAACUGGGGCUAAUACCGGAUAGGAGCUCCUGCUGCAUGGUGGGGGUUGGAAAGUUUCGGCGGUUGUGGAUGGACUCGCGGCUUAUCAGCUUGUUGGUGGGGUAGUGGCUUACCAAGGCUUUGACGGGUAGCCCGCCUGAGAGGGUGACCGGCCACAUUGGGACUGAGAGACGGACCAGAAUCCUACGGGAGGCAGUAGUGGGGAAUAUUGCAGAAUGGGCGGAAGCCUGAUGCAGCAACGCCGCGUGCGGGAUGACGGCUUUCGGGUUGUAAACCGCUGUCGCAUGUGACGAAGCGUGAGUGACGGUAAUGGGUAAAGAAGCAACGGCUAACUACGUG